Molecule: ribosomal RNA, 429 nt
Filed under: Gemmatimonadota bacterium
Lineage: Bacteria; Pseudomonadati; Gemmatimonadota
Description: Gemmatimonadetes bacterium partial 16S ribosomal RNA
Rfam family: Bacterial small subunit ribosomal RNA
Source: RNAcentral
UAGGGAAUCUUCGGCAAUGGACGAAAGUCUGACCGAGCAACGCCGCGUGAGUGAAGAAGGUUUUCGGAUCGUAAAACUCUGUUGUUAGAGAAGAACAAGGACGUUAGUAACUGAACGUCCCCUGACGGUAUCUAACCAGAAAGCCACGGCUAACUACGUGCCAGCAGCCGCGGUAAUACGUAGGUGGCAAGCGUUGUCCGGAUUUAUUGGGCGUAAAGCGAGCGCAGGCGGUUUCUUAAGUCUGAUGUGAAAGCCCCCGGCUCAACCGGGGAGGGUCAUUGGAAACUGGGGGACUUGAGUGCAGAAGAGGAGAGUGGAAUUCCAUGUGUAGCGGUGAAAUGCGUAGAUAUAUGGAGGAACACCAGUGGCGAAGGCGGCUCUCUGGUCUGUAACUGACGCUGAGGCUCGAAAGCGUGGAGAGCAAACAGG